Molecule: ribosomal RNA, 1047 nt
Filed under: Triticum aestivum (bread wheat)
Lineage: Eukaryota; Viridiplantae; Streptophyta; Magnoliopsida; Poales; Poaceae
Description: partial small subunit ribosomal RNA
Source: RNAcentral
AUGGCGAAGGCACCUGGUGCUUCGCUCGGCCCCGUCCCUUUUGCGGACGUCGAAGCUGACUCAGGCUUGGUCUCCGGCGUGCCGGAGCAGCUUCCAGAGGAGCACGCCGACGCCGACCUUGUGUCCGCCCUGCCGAGCGCGCCCAUGGCCAUGGGCAUAUCGAACCUCCGUUUCUACGAGGGAUGCUGGCUGCCGGAGUGGUCUGUCCCGGCGGCCGUCGCCCUACAGCGCCGCUUCGAGCCCCGCCGGGACGAUGUCAUCGUUGCCAGCUUCCCCAAGUGCGGCACCACGUGGGUCAACGCGCUGACGUUCGCCACCAUGGCGCGGCGCGCCUACCCCGCCGCCGGCGCCGGGCACCCGCUGCUACGCCUCAACCCGCACCAGUGCAUCCCUUUCCUGGAGGGCCUAUUCGGCAGCCGGCGCGGGGAGGCCAAGCUCGAGGCGCUACCUUCCCCGCGCGUCAUGAACACGCACAUGCCGCUGGCCAUGAUACCGCGAGCCGCCGCGCCCGGCGGGGGCGGGUGCAAGGUCGUGUACGUCUGCAGGGAGCCCAAGGACAUGGUGGUCUCGCGGUGGCACUUCCACCGGCAGCUGCAUCCCGAGCUGGCGUUCGCCGACGUCUUCGAGGCCGUGUGCAGCGGCGCGGUGGCGUACGGACCAGUGUGGGACCACAUGCUCGGCUACUGGAGCGCCAGCACGGCAAGGCCUGACAGCGUGCUCUUCUUGCGGUACGAGGAGCUGCUGCGCGACCCCGCCGAGCACGUCAGGGCGCUGGCGCGGUUCGUGGGGCUGCCUUUCUCCGGCGCCGAGGAGGAUGCCGGCGCCGUCCACGACAUCGUCAAGCUCUGCAGCUUCGGCCACCUCAAGAACCUGGAGGCCAACAAAACGGGCCACGUGAAUCCCAUCCUCCAGAUCCCGCGCGGCGCGCUAUUCAGGAAAGGCGCGGCCGGUGACUGGGUGAAUCACAUGACGCCGGAGAUGGCGCGACGCCUUGACGAGAUCGUCGCCGACAAGCUCCAUGCCUCAGGGCUCACCUUCCAUGAGUGA